CAUUAGAUGGCUGAAAGCAAGUAAUGGUCUCUUAAACCAAAAAAUAGUAAAAUAGCAAUUACUU
RNAcentral lists this transfer RNA (64 nucleotides) under Corynocera ambigua. Its description in RNAcentral is "tRNA-Lys". The record is from RNAcentral. Lineage: Eukaryota; Metazoa; Arthropoda; Insecta; Diptera; Chironomidae.